CUCAACUUUGGUUCCUGAUUUAGGUUUUAAGCAGGGUUUUUCCUCAUUUCUCUUUCAGAUUCAAAAAAAUGUAGAAAAUAUUAGCAUCUUUGCCUCAAUCCCUUCAAGUCCGUUGUUCCCAAAAUUGAUUCCGUUGUCUACCCAUUCCUUGUCAUUUUCCCCAGAAAAUGUAGGAAAAUGAAAGAAAAUUUUUUUCAAUCUUAUAUUUUGCAUGGAACGUUAGAUGGGUUUAUCAUUUGCUGGAAGCUUCAAAUAAUUUUCCCUCCACUUUCUUGAGCACAAUUAGGGUUUCAGUGUUCCCAGAUUAUAUUUUUAAAAGAUUGAAAGAGCUAGUCUUGUAUAUCACCUGCAUUUGCAAUCAGGGAAAAUGGUGACUACCAAAUUGAUUGUGUGCCAACUCCUCUACUGAUUCCCGCAAUGAAGAUAGGGUUGAUCAUGAAGAGGAGAGCAUCACUGAAGUAGACAAAGACAUUGA
Molecule: long non-coding RNA, 475 nt
Organism: Vitis riparia (riverbank grape)
Lineage: Eukaryota; Viridiplantae; Streptophyta; Magnoliopsida; Vitales; Vitaceae
Exons: 3
Source: RefSeq, a predicted model, not a curated record